Molecule: ribosomal RNA, 2918 nt
Filed under: Klebsiella pneumoniae
Lineage: Bacteria; Pseudomonadati; Pseudomonadota; Gammaproteobacteria; Enterobacterales; Enterobacteriaceae
Description: bacterial LSU rRNA
Rfam family: Bacterial large subunit ribosomal RNA
Source: RNAcentral
GGGUUGUGAGGUUAAGCGACUAAGCGUACACGGUGGAUGCCCUGGCAGUCAGAGGCGAUGAAGGACGUGCUAAUCUGCGAAAAGCGUCGGUAAGGUGAUAUGAACCGUUACAGCCGGCGAUGUCCGAAUGGGGAAACCCAGUGCAAUUCGUUGCACUAUCGUUAACUGAAUACAUAGGUUAACGAGGCGAACCGGGGGAACUGAAACAUCUAAGUACCCCGAGGAAAAGAAAUCAACCGAGAUUCCCCCAGUAGCGGCGAGCGAACGGGGAGCAGCCCAGAGUCUGAAUCAGCUUGUGUGUUAGUGGAACGGUCUGGAAAGUCCGACGGUACAGGGUGAUAGUCCCGUACACCAAAAUGCACAGGUUGUGAACUCGAAGAGUAGGGCGGGACACGUGGUAUCCUGUCUGAAUAUGGGGGGACCAUCCUCCAAGGCUAAAUACUCCUGACUGACCGAUAGUGAACCAGUACCGUGAGGGAAAGGCGAAAAGAACCCCGGCGAGGGGAGUGAAAAAGAACCUGAAACCGUGUACGUACAAGCAGUGGGAGCACCUUCGGGUGUGACUGCGUACCUUUUGUAUAAUGGGUCAGCGACUUAUAUUCUGUAGCAAGGUUAACCGUAUAGGGGAGCCGCAGGGAAACCGAGUCUUAACUGGGCGUUAAGUUGCAGGGUAUAGACCCGAAACCCGGUGAUCUAGCCAUGGGCAGGUUGAAGGUUGGGUAACACUAACUGGAGGACCGAACCGACUAAUGUUGAAAAAUUAGCGGAUGACUUGUGGCUGGGGGUGAAAGGCCAAUCAAACCGGGAGAUAGCUGGUUCUCCCGAAAGCUAUUUAGGUAGCGCCUCGUGAACUCAUCUUCGGGGUAGAGCACUGUUUCGGCUAGGGGUCAUCCCGACUUACCAACCCGAUGCAAACUACGAAUACCGAAGAAUGUUAUCACGGGAGACACACGGCGGGUGCUAACGUCCGUCGUGAAGAGGGAAACAACCCAGACCGCCAGCUAAGGUCCCAAAGUCAUGGUUAAGUGGGAAACGAUGUGGGAAGGCACAGACAGCCAGGAUGUUGGCUUAGAAGCAGCCAUCAUUUAAAGAAAGCGUAAUAGCUCACUGGUCGAGUCGGCCUGCGCGGAAGAUGUAACGGGGCUAAACCAUGCACCGAAGCUGCGGCAGCGACACUAUGUGUUGUUGGGUAGGGGAGCGUUCUGUAAGCCUGCGAAGGUGUGCUGUGAGGCAUGCUGGAGGUAUCAGAAGUGCGAAUGCUGACAUAAGUAACGAUAAAGCGGGUGAAAAGCCCGCUCGCCGGAAGACCAAGGGUUCCUGUCCAACGUUAAUCGGGGCAGGGUGAGUCGACCCCUAAGGCGAGGCCGAAAGGCGUAGUCGAUGGGAAACAGGUUAAUAUUCCUGUACUUGGUGUUACUGCGAAGGGGGACGGAGAAGGCUAUGUUAGCCGGGCGACGGUUGUCCCGGUUUAAGCAUGUAGGCUGGUUAUCCAGGCAAAUCCGGAUAAUCAAGGCUGAGGUGUGAUGACGAGGCACUACGGUGCUGAAGUAACAAAUGCCCUGCUUCCAGGAAAAGCCUCUAAGCAUCAGGUAACAUCAAAUCGUACCCCAAACCGACACAGGUGGUCAGGUAGAGAAUACCAAGGCGCUUGAGAGAACUCGGGUGAAGGAACUAGGCAAAAUGGUGCCGUAACUUCGGGAGAAGGCACGCUGGUGUGUAGGUGAAGUCCCUGCGGAUGGAGCUGAGACCAGUCGAAGAUACCAGCUGGCUGCAACUGUUUAUUAAAAACACAGCACUGUGCAAACACGAAAGUGGACGUAUACGGUGUGACGCCUGCCCGGUGCCGGAAGGUUAAUUGAUGGGGUUAUCCGUAAGGAGAAGCUCUUGAUCGAAGCCCCGGUAAACGGCGGCCGUAACUAUAACGGUCCUAAGGUAGCGAAAUUCCUUGUCGGGUAAGUUCCGACCUGCACGAAUGGCGUAAUGAUGGCCAGGCUGUCUCCACCCGAGACUCAGUGAAAUUGAACUCGCUGUGAAGAUGCAGUGUACCCGCGGCAAGACGGAAAGACCCCGUGAACCUUUACUAUAGCUUGACACUGAACAUUGAGCCUUGAUGUGUAGGAUAGGUGGGAGGCUUUGAAGCGUGGACGCCAGUCUGCGUGGAGCCAACCUUGAAAUACCACCCUUUAAUGUUUGAUGUUCUAACGUUGGCCCCUGACCGGGGUUGCGGACAGUGUCUGGUGGGUAGUUUGACUGGGGCGGUCUCCUCCCAAAGCGUAACGGAGGAGCACGAAGGUUAGCUAAUCCUGGUCGGACAUCAGGAGGUUAGUGCAAUGGCAUAAGCUAGCUUGACUGCGAGCGUGACGGCGCGAGCAGGUGCGAAAGCAGGUCAUAGUGAUCCGGUGGUUCUGAAUGGAAGGGCCAUCGCUCAACGGAUAAAAGGUACUCCGGGGAUAACAGGCUGAUACCGCCCAAGAGUUCAUAUCGACGGCGGUGUUUGGCACCUCGAUGUCGGCUCAUCACAUCCUGGGGCUGAAGUAGGUCCCAAGGGUAUGGCUGUUCGCCAUUUAAAGUGGUACGCGAGCUGGGUUUAGAACGUCGUGAGACAGUUCGGUCCCUAUCUGCCGUGGGCGCUGGAGAAUUGAGGGGGGCUGCUCCUAGUACGAGAGGACCGGAGUGGACGCAUCACUGGUGUUCGGGUUGUCAUGCCAAUGGCACUGCCCGGUAGCUAAAUGCGGAAGAGAUAAGUGCUGAAAGCAUCUAAGCACGAAACUUGCCCGAGAUGAGUUCUCCCUGAGACUAUAAGUCUCCUGAAGGAACGUUAAAGACGAUGACGUUGAUAGGCCGGGUGUGUAAGCGCAGCGAUGCGUUGAGCUAACCGGUACUAAUGAACCGUGAGGCUUAACCUUACAACGCCGAAG